Molecule: long non-coding RNA, 418 nt
Organism: Fundulus heteroclitus (mummichog)
Lineage: Eukaryota; Metazoa; Chordata; Actinopteri; Cyprinodontiformes; Fundulidae
Exons: 2
Source: RefSeq, a predicted model, not a curated record
AGAGUUUCUGCUGAUCACUUCCUGGUUUACAGAGAACAAAACUACUGAAUGCAAUAAAAUGUUGACUGGAAAUGAGCUGAAAACUGAGAAGAAACCUGAAAAACACACAAGUUUCACCCUGACCUCAGAGUUUUACAGCUCAGUUCACUGUUGAUGCAAAGAGAAGAACUGAAAGUAAAGGUGUUUAAACUCAGGUAAACUCACCUUGACAGGGGGCGGAGCCUCAGGUGAGUCAGUUACAGUCAGGUAUCAGAUCAGGAGAAACAGGUUCUGACUCCAUUUAGCAGCAGAACAGAACAAAGAGAAGACUCUGGAUCAGGGCUGACUGAAGUCCAGAAGAUGGAGGAUUGUGAUCUAAAGGAGGACAGAGCAGAACCUCCAGGAUCCAGCUGUCCAUCUAUGAGGAGUGACUGGUCCA